GGAUCACUGUGUAAUGGUUUACUUUUCAUUUUUUUUCGAUGAGAAUCCUCAAUAGACUGCCCUCACUCCUAGAAGAAUAUAUAUUGAGGCGGGUAGUGUGGUUGCCACUGCACUCCACAGUAGCUGGGGUUUGCUUUUUCAGUGUAACGUUUUUUCCCCCCAAUUCCGGUUUUGAAUUCUGGACAUAUUCAUAAACCACUCAAUUGUAAGCUCACGGGCCAUCUAGCUAAGCACUUUGUAUAAAAGAGCUCCAAUGGCUAGAUAUCAGCUUACGGGCAGGGCUCUCUUACCGUUUGUGUAUAUUGUACAUUUCUCAACUAAUUGUACAGCGCUGCGGAAUCUGUGUGCGCUUUAUAAAUAGCAAUAAUAAAUAAAUAAAAUAAAACCUUUGGCCUCAUAGAUUGACUCCUGCCUGACACUGGUCAACAUAGAAUCCAUCAGUCAUAGGGUAACUUCAUGACAUACAUGGUCCCAUGAAUUGUGGGCAGCUUUGGACGCAUGUCCAAUAACCGCCUAAGAAAGAGCAAUGUUUGUGUGGGUGGUCGGGAGUGGGGUGUUAUGUCACCUGACCUACUUGAUGGCAUUAUUUGCCCAUUAAACAAGCACAUUAUGUUUCAGUUUUCAAACUAUUUCUUUUUUAAUACAUUACGCAUAUUGUAAUGGAACACCUAUAAUAUUCUAAUUUCCUUCACACUUGCAUGGACAGGUGUGGUCUGGUAUAAAAAUGUACUGGGUGUGUGUGUUCAUAUGAUGCUAUGCAUGUUCGGUGAAUGUCUUCUAGCAUUCCUGCGGCUAGUGGCCUUAGUGAAUAGAGGACCAUGGAUCACAAUUUGCCAAACCGUCCUUCAAAUAUACCAAUAAGAUAGAAUUUCAUGGUAUCCAUGCUUAGGCACAGGUGACUUCAGUAUUGGCUUCAUCCUUUUAAGAUAUCUGUUUUUCCCAAACCUUUUGGGUGGGUUCUAGCUCUGAGUGACUGACUUACACAUACAACACAACUCUAUAUUGUGAACAUUCUAAUGUGAUUUGUGCUCCUGGUUUUAAUUUAUAAACUUAAAUGAAAUGCCCAGAACUUUGGAUCUAUGCAGUUGGAUAAGGGCCAAGUAAAAACACGCAGGGCGUUGUAAGGUAAUCCUCUUAGCAGCUGAACAGAUGGAACUUUUUAAGUUCCACUCUAUAGAAGACUGUUUUCCUGAGUAAAAGCCAUUAUUAUAUUCUGAUUCCUAUAUAUUGGCUUUGGUAAAAAAAAAAAAAAAAUACAGCAUUCCACAGAG
Non-coding RNA from Pelobates cultripes (western spadefoot toad), 1271 nucleotides. The record is from the annotation of a GenBank genome assembly. Lineage: Eukaryota; Metazoa; Chordata; Amphibia; Anura; Pelobatidae.